RNAcentral lists this transfer RNA (72 nucleotides) under Centropus cupreicaudus. RNAcentral's name for it is "tRNA-Trp". It matches the Rfam family "tRNA". Rfam says of the family: Transfer RNA (tRNA) molecules are approximately 80 nucleotides in length. The record is from RNAcentral. Lineage: Eukaryota; Metazoa; Chordata; Aves; Cuculiformes; Centropidae.
AGAAACUUAGGAUAAAAAUUAAACCGAAGGCCUUCAAAGCCUUAAACAAGAGAUAAAGCCUCUUAGUUUCUG